RNAcentral lists this unclassified non-coding RNA (200 nucleotides) under Pleosporales sp. RNAcentral describes it as "partial internal transcribed spacer 2". Lineage: Eukaryota; Fungi; Ascomycota; Dothideomycetes; Pleosporales. The record is from RNAcentral.
UUAAGUUCAGCGGGUAUCCCUACCUGAUUCGAGGUCAAACUGUGUGAUUUCUUGAUGAUCGCGAGCCCGUCGGGGACCUUCCCAUGCGCGAUGUGCUGCGCGAGAAGCCGACGAUGUCGCUGCCAAUGAAUUUGGGGCGAGUCCUCGCGCGAAGCGGGGACAGACGCCCAACACCAAGCAGAGCUUGAGGGUGUAAAUGA